RNAcentral lists this ribosomal RNA (824 nucleotides) under Brachybacterium sp. HDC59. RNAcentral's name for it is "bacterial SSU rRNA". It matches the Rfam family "Bacterial small subunit ribosomal RNA", at positions 372 to 1204 of the family's 1533-position model. Lineage: Bacteria; Bacillati; Actinomycetota; Actinomycetes; Micrococcales; Dermabacteraceae. The record is from RNAcentral.
UGGGCGCAGCCUGAUGCAGCGACGCCGCGUGAGGGAUGACGGCCUUCGGGUUGUAAACCUCUUUCAGCAGGGAAGAAGCCACAAGUGACGGUACCUGCAGAAGAAGCGCCGGCUAACUACGUGCCAGCAGCCGCGGUAAUACGUAGGGCGCAAGCGUUGUCCGGAAUUAUUGGGCGUAAAGAGCUCGUAGGCGGUUUGUCGCGUCUGCUGUGAAAGCCCGGGGCUCAACCCCGGGUCUGCAGUGGGUACGGGCAGACUAGAGUGCAGUAGGGGAGACUGGAAUUCCUGGUGUAGCGGUGAAAUGCGCAGAUAUCAGGAGGAACACCGAUGGCGAAGGCAGGUCUCUGGGCUGUUACUGACGCUGAGGAGCGAAAGCAUGGGGAGCGAACAGGAUUAGAUACCCUGGUAGUCCAUGCCGUAAACGUUGGGCACUAGGUGUGGGGGACAUUCCACGUUCUCCGCGCCGUAGCUAACGCAUUAAGUGCCCCGCCUGGGGAGUACGGCCGCAAGGCUAAAACUCAAAGGAAUUGACGGGGGCCCGCACAAGCGGCGGAGCAUGCGGAUUAAUUCGAUGCAACGCGAAGAACCUUACCAAGGCUUGACAUUCACCGGACCGCCUCAGAGAUGGGGUUUCCCUUCGGGGUCGGUGGACAGGUGGUGCAUGGUUGUCGUCAGCUCGUGUCGUGAGAUGUUGGGGUUAAGUCCCGCAACGAGCGCAACCCUCGUUCUAUGUUGCCAGCACGUGAUGGGUGGGGACUCAUAGGAGACUGCCGGGGUCAACUCGGAGGAGGGUGGGGGAUGACGUCAAAUCAUCAUGCCCCUUA